CACGUAGGGCGCAAGCGUUGUCCGGAAUUAUUGGGCGUAAAGGGCGCGUAGGCGGUUAUGCAAGUGAGAUGUGAAAGCCCUGGGCUUAACCUAGGAAUUGCAUCUUAGACUGUGUAGCUGGAGUACAGUAGAGGGUGGUGGAAUUUCCGGUGUAGCGGUGAAAUGCGUAGAGAUCGGAAGGAACAUCAGUGGCGAAGGCGGCCACCUGGACUGAUACUGACGCUGAGGCGCGAAAGCGUGGGGAGCAAACAGG
This 253-nucleotide ribosomal RNA is filed under the name uncultured bacterium. Its description in RNAcentral is "partial 16S ribosomal RNA". It matches the Rfam family "Bacterial small subunit ribosomal RNA", at positions 524 to 776 of the family's 1533-position model. The record is from RNAcentral.